Molecule: small RNA, 26 nt
Filed under: Bombyx mori (domestic silkworm)
Lineage: Eukaryota; Metazoa; Arthropoda; Insecta; Lepidoptera; Bombycidae
Description: ovarian small RNA-33095
Source: RNAcentral
UGAUUGAGGUUAAUAGAUACGGGGAA